Equus asinus (donkey) is the source of this 1617-nucleotide long non-coding RNA. The record is from Ensembl. NCBI's taxonomy places the organism in Eukaryota, Metazoa, Chordata, Mammalia, Perissodactyla, Equidae.
CUUUAACCAUUUUUAUAUAUUCCAUUCUUAGAAAUAGUUUUAUUCAUCAUGGGUAUUUAUUGAAUAAUGAAAAAAAAUUUUGAAUCAAUGGAUACUACUAAUGACCUUCUCAGCUGCCCACCUCCAGAGCCUUCCAAUACAACUGAUGGAGCUUUGUACCUACUCAGGCUGGGGUGGGAAGUGCCUGGAUUCAGAUGCCUUGGUCUCCUAGGACUGCCAAACUCUUCUUGACACGUCUAUCAGGUUGAUAUAUUCCUGUCUCCUUUUGCUACUUUAAUUUUGAGACAGUGCUCUGAGAAACCAAGCCUGCUGUAUGAGACACUGUCUGUUUAACAAUGUUACUGGAAGACUGGUCCUUAAAUGAACUGUUUGAAAAUAAUAUUUAUAUAAACAAUCUACUUUAAAUGAGAUGGUUGAUACAAAUAGCUGUUCUUCAGUUGAUAACCAGGGAUGUCCCCACCUAACAAUUUCCCAUUACUGUAGUAAUGGCUCUCCCCCAUGCUUUCCCCUCGCUCCUCUGCCUCCUGGCCAACUCUGGUACUUCUUCACGUGGCUCUGCAUGGUGUGGUGUGCCUCCUCCUCUUGGGAAUUGUAGAUUACUCCAUGUUUUUCAUAAACAUAGAAUCACAAAGAAGCCUUAGGCUGUUGGGAAGCAGAACAUGCUGGCUUACUAUUGCACAAAGACAAAGAUAUUCACCUGGAAGCAUACUCUACAACCAAAAGUCACACCAUCGAUAUUAUUAUCUGUUUGUUUGAGAUCUAUUGCCGUAAACUAUGGUCUGAAGCUUUCGGUUCCUCAAAGCUGAGUCAACAUUGUUGAAAAUCUUCAGUGGAUUUGAUAUAAACACUACCAAUGCAGACAUUUUAUGGAAGAAAAAGGCCUUGUUGUUAUGAUCAGUAGAGCAUCAUCUAGAAUAGUGAUGUGGAUGAAUUUCACCACUAGAGCACUAAAUUCACCCCUGAAAUAAUAACACACAAAACUCUGAGCCGAUAUUGAGUGUUAAGGAUGUCCUUUCAUGUUUCCUCAUGAAGAUGAAGAUUAACUGCGGCUUGCCAAGCAUUUACAGGAUAAUCUUGUUUUUACCUUCAAAAGGCACAUUAAAUGUGAUGAAGCCAGAUAGGCCAGCACUCGUAUUUGCAAUGUUAUCUCCUCUGGUGCAUACAUGCAGCUGAUGCACUUAUGCUGUUGGGGCACUUUAAUAGGUCACUCUAUCAGAAAAAAAGAUGAAGUGUUAAAGGCUGUAUUGGGGCCUGCUAAGUGUAAUCCAAUACAGUGGGUCUGAUCCUGUCGAGUGUGUGAGAUACCGCAGAGGUUGUUAGGCAGUCUGUAGAGCGAGCCCCCCUAAGCUCACUUGCUUCUGGUUUUGUGUGAUUAUAAAGCCCACAAGUCAGGGGCAUCCAGUCCAGUAUCACCAAGAAGGUGCCAACAAUACUGUCAAUGGAAUGAUGCAUUUCUGUCAGUUCCAAAGACUGAGAGAUGCUAUUAAAUGAAUCUCCUAAUUAGCUAUUUUAAAAACAGCUACUUGGAAUGAAUAUAGUUUUGUUGAUUUAAAAAAAAUGAAUCUGCAUAUAGUUCUAGCUUUCAGGAAAAUAUGUCAUUUGGAUGUCAUAAAUAUC